This 408-nucleotide ribosomal RNA is filed under the name Triticum aestivum (bread wheat). RNAcentral's name for it is "partial small subunit ribosomal RNA". The record is from RNAcentral. Lineage: Eukaryota; Viridiplantae; Streptophyta; Magnoliopsida; Poales; Poaceae.
AUGUACCCUGUGGCUUGGGAUGUAGUUGAGCAGGAAACAAAUGAAUCUUGGAAGUGGUUUGUUGCCUUGCUCAUUAAAGUUCUGGAUAUCAACAACAAUGGAGAAGGCUGGGUGUUUAUUUCUGAUCAGCAGAAGGGCCUACUAAAUGCAGUGAAGGAUUAUCUUCCUGCUGCACAGCACAGGAUGUGUGCUAGACACAUAUAUGCUAACUGGAGGAAGAAACACAGAGAUCAUGAGUGGCAGAAGAAAUUUUGGGCAGUUGCCAAAGCUUCAAAUAGGCAAGACUUCAACUACUACAAAGCCAAGCUAGCACAGGAGACACCUGAAGGGGCUAAAGACAUAAUGAGAACAGAACCUGUUCAUUGGGCUAGGGCAUUUUUCCAGUGGGUUCAAACUGUGAAUCAGUAG